GGGAGUUUGGCCGAGUGGUUAAGGCGUCAGAUUUAGGUUCUUUCAAAGUUCAAACAUUCUGAUAUCUUCGGAUUCGCGAGUUCGAAUCUCGUAGCUCUCA
This is a non-coding RNA of Lachancea thermotolerans CBS 6340, 100 nucleotides long. The record is from Rfam. Lineage: Eukaryota; Fungi; Ascomycota; Saccharomycetes; Saccharomycetales; Saccharomycetaceae.